This 654-nucleotide ribosomal RNA is filed under the name Triticum aestivum (bread wheat). Its description in RNAcentral is "partial small subunit ribosomal RNA". Lineage: Eukaryota; Viridiplantae; Streptophyta; Magnoliopsida; Poales; Poaceae. The record is from RNAcentral.
AUGCUGACAAAGGCGCAAUGGAUUUCCCUGUCAAAAGAAAAGCAGGGCAGAUCUACGAGCAGCGCCAAGAAUAAGGGGAAAGGGAAGCAGCGCUCGGCGAGAAAGAACUUCGCUGACUCGGACGGCGAGGAUGCGCCUGCACCAUCGAGGAGGAAGUUUGACAUCAGAAAAGUGAGGUGUCAUAAGUGUGGCCUCCUCGGUCACUUCAAGGCUAACUGCGAGGAAGCAUCGAAGCAGCGGACGCUCAUUGCCGAGGAAGGAGACGAUGGGGAUAUGAUGUUGAUGUGCGAGCUAGCAGACGAAGAGGAUCUAGAUGAUCUUGGUCAGCUGGAGACAAGUCCGGUGAGUGCAUCCGUGUUGGUAGAACUAGGCGAAGUUGUGGCGCCAGACGACCAUGACCCAAGGCGUGACAGUGUGGUUACGUCAGUAAACCCGGGCAAAGUCGUGGCGCCAGAAGACCAUGACGGAAGAAGUGACAGUGUGAUCACGUUAGAAGUAGGCGAAGAAGUGGCGCCAGAAGUCCACGACACUCUGCGUGAUGGUGUGGUCGCGCUAGAAGAUGGCGAAGACAUGUCACCGGAAGAACACAACGCGAGGCGUGGUGAAGUGGUCACCACAAAGAACGCAACAUGCAGCAAGCUGCACUCGAACUAG